ACACGUCCCCUUCUGCCCAUAGGACGGGGACAACAUUGGGAAACCGAUGCUCUUACCGGAUGAGCCGAGAGGUAAAACAUUUAUGGCCUAUGGAGGAGCUCGCGACUGAUUAGCUAGUUGGUGAGGUAAGAGCUUACCAAGGCGACGAUCAGUAGCUGGUCUGAGAGGAUGAUCAGCCACACUGGGACUGAGACACGGCCCAGACUCCUACGGGAGGCAGCAGUGGGGAAUUUUCCGCAAUGGGGGCAACCCUGACGGAGCAACGCCGCGUGAGGGAAGAAUGUUUGUGGACAGUAAACCUCUUUUAAUAGGGAAGAAUAAUGACGGCACCUAUUGAAUAAGCAUCGGCUAACUCCGUGCCAGCAGCCGCGGUAAUACGGAGGAUGCAAGCGUUAUCCGGGAUUAUUGGGCGUAAAGCGUCCGCAGGUGGUUAGUCAAGUCAGCUGUAAAAUACUCAGGCUCAACUUGGGAUGUGCAGUUGAAACUGAUUGACUAGAGUACGGUAGGGGUAGAGGGAACUCCUAGUGUAGCGGUGAAAUGCGUAGAUAUUAGGAAGAACACCAGUGGCGAAGGCGCUCUACUGGGCCUGUACUGACACUGAGGGACGAAAGCUAGGGGAGCGAAAGGGAUUAGAUACCCCUGUAGUCCUAGCUGUAAGCGAUGGAUACUAGGUGUUGGACGUAUCGACCCGUUCAGUAUCGUAGCUAACGCGUUAAGUAUCCCGCCUGGGGGAGUCCCCCCCCAGGUGUGAAACUCCAA
This 759-nucleotide ribosomal RNA is filed under the name uncultured bacterium. RNAcentral describes it as "bacterial SSU rRNA". It matches the Rfam family "Bacterial small subunit ribosomal RNA", at positions 113 to 905 of the family's 1533-position model. The record is from RNAcentral.